GAUGAACGCUGGCGGCGUGCCUAAUACAUGCAAGUCGAGCGAACAGAUAAGGAGCUUGCUCCUUUGACGUUUGCGGCGGACGGGUGUGUAACACGUGGAUAACCUACCUAUAAUUCUGGGAUAACUUCGGGAAACCGGAGCUAAUACCGGAUAACAUAUUGAACCGCAUGGUUCAAUAGUGAAAGGCGGCUUUGCUGUCACUUAUAGAUGGAUCCGCGCCGUAUUAGCUAGUUGGUAAGGUAACGGCUUACCAAGGCAACGAUACGUAGCCGACCUGAGAGGGUGAUCGGCCACACUGGAGCUGAGACACGGUCCAGACUCCUACGGGAGGCAGCAGUAGGGAAUCUUCCGCAAUGGGCGAAAGCCUGACGGAGCAACGCCGCGUGAGUGAUGAAGGUCUUCGGAUCGUAAAACUCUGUUAUCAGGGAAGAACAAAUGUGUAAGUAACUGUGCACAGCGUGACGGUACCUGAUCAGAAAGCCACGGCUAACUACGUG
This 497-nucleotide ribosomal RNA is filed under the name uncultured bacterium. RNAcentral's name for it is "partial 16S ribosomal RNA". It matches the Rfam family "Bacterial small subunit ribosomal RNA", at positions 28 to 507 of the family's 1533-position model. The record is from RNAcentral.